GAUGAACGCUGGCGGCGUGCCUAACACAUGCAAGUCGAGCGGUAACGCGGGAGCAAUCCUGGCGACGAGCGGCGAACGGGUGAGUAACGCUUCGGAAUCUACCCAGUAGUGGGGAAUAACCAACCGGAAGGUUGGCUAAUGCCGCAUACGACCUGAGAGUGAAAGGGGGGGAUCGCAAGACCUCUCGCUAUUGGAUGAGCCGAAGUCGGAUUAGCUCGGUGGUAGGGUAACGGCCUACCAAGGCGACAAUCCGUAGCUGGUCUGAGAGGACGACCAGCCACACUGGGACUGAGACACGGCCCAGAAUCCUACGGGAGGCAGCAGUGGGGAAUAUUGGACAAUGGGGGCAACCCUGAUCCAGCGACGCCGCGUGUGUGAAGAAGGCCUGCGGGUUGUAAAGCACUUUUAGUGGGGAUGAAAAGCUCAGGGCUAAUACCCUUGAGUCUUGACCUAACCCAAAGAAAAAGCACCGGCUAACUCUGUGCCAGCCGCCGCCGUAA
Molecule: ribosomal RNA, 500 nt
Filed under: uncultured bacterium
Lineage: Bacteria
Description: partial 16S ribosomal RNA
Rfam family: Bacterial small subunit ribosomal RNA
Source: RNAcentral